CCUCCGGGAGGCAGCAGUGAGGAAUAUUGGUCAAUGGGCGCAAGCCUGAACCAGCCAAGUCGCGUGAGGGAAGACGGCCCUACGGGUUGUAAACCUCUUUUGCCGGGGAGCAAGCCUGAGCACGUGUGCCCAGGCGGAGAGUACCCGGAGAAAAAGCAUCGGCUAACUCCGUGCCAGCAGCCGCGGUAAUACGGAGGAUGCGAGCGUUAUCCGGAUUUAUUGGGUUUAAAGGGUGCGUAGAUGGGUUGUUAAGUCAGUUGUGAAAGUUUGCGGCUCAACCGUAAAAUUGCAAUUGAUACUGGCAGCCUUGAGUACAGUUGAGGUAGGCGGAAUUCGUGGUGUAGCGGUGAAAUGCUUAGAUAUCACGAAGAACUCCGAUUGCGAAGGCAGCCUACUAAACUGCCACUGACAUUGAUGCUCGAAAGUGUGGGUAUCAAACAGGAUUAGAUACCCUUGUAGUC
Molecule: ribosomal RNA, 461 nt
Filed under: uncultured bacterium
Lineage: Bacteria
Description: partial 16S ribosomal RNA
Rfam family: Bacterial small subunit ribosomal RNA
Source: RNAcentral